RNAcentral lists this ribosomal RNA (404 nucleotides) under Pseudomonas sp. RNAcentral's name for it is "partial 16S ribosomal RNA". It matches the Rfam family "Bacterial small subunit ribosomal RNA", at positions 355 to 776 of the family's 1533-position model. RNAcentral also lists the same sequence under 3 other names. The record is from RNAcentral. Lineage: Bacteria; Pseudomonadati; Pseudomonadota; Gammaproteobacteria; Pseudomonadales; Pseudomonadaceae.
UGGGGAAUAUUGGACAAUGGGCGCAAGCCUGAUCCAGCCAUGCCGCGUGAGUGAUGAAGGCCCUAGGGUUGUAAAGCUCUUUCACCGGUGAAGAUAAUGACGGUAACCGGAGAAGAAGCCCCGGCUAACUUCGUGCCAGCAGCCGCGGUAAUACGAAGGGGGCUAGCGUUGUUCGGAUUUACUGGGCGUAAAGCGCACGUAGGCGGACUUUUAAGUCAGGGGUGAAAUCCCGGGGCUCAACCCCGGAACUGCCUUUGAUACUGGAAGUCUUGAGUAUGGUGGAGGUGAGUGGAAUUCCGAGUGUAGAGGUGAAAUUCGUAGAUAUUCGGAGGAACACCAGUGGCGAAGGCGGCUCACUGGACCAUUACUGACGCUGAGGUGCGAAAGCGUGGGGAGCAAACAGG